AACGCAGACGUGGUCGACGCGGGUAAAAGUGUCGUAUCUGUUCUUAUCAGCUUAAUAUCUGAUCAGGUUGUACUUGGACCAAAUAUUUUAAACUUAUUUUUGCAAGUUGGCGGAGUGCUUAACGCCUGCUUCACCUCCGCCGCGGAUCAGCCUGGUAUUGCACUAUCUUCGGGAUCGGCCCACGUAAA
Small nuclear RNA from Dermacentor andersoni, 188 nucleotides. RefSeq annotates it as U2 spliceosomal RNA. Lineage: Eukaryota; Metazoa; Arthropoda; Arachnida; Ixodida; Ixodidae. The record is from RefSeq and is a predicted model, not a curated record.